GACGAACGCUGGCGGCGUGCUUAACACAUGCAAGUCGAGCGGAAAGGCCCUUCGGGGUACUCGAGCGGCGAACGGGUGAGUAACACGUGAGUAACCUGCCCCAGACUUUGGGAUAACCCUCGGAAACGGGGGCUAAUACCGGAUACGACACAGCUUCGCAUGGGGUCUGUGUGGAAAGUUUUUCGGUUUGGGAUGGGCUCGCGGCCUAUCAGCUUGUUGGUGGGGUGAUGGCCUACCAAGGCGACGACGGGUAGCCGGCCUGAGAGGGCGACCGGCCACACUGGGACUGAGACACGGCCCAGACUCCUACGGGAGGCAGCAGUGGGGAAUAUUGCACAAUGGGCGGAAGCCUGAUGCAGCGACGCCGCGUGAGGGAUGACGGCCUUCGGGUUGUAAACCUCUUUCAGCAGGGACGAAGCGUAAGUGACGGUACCUACAGAAGAAGCGCCGGCCAACUACGUG
This 462-nucleotide ribosomal RNA is filed under the name uncultured bacterium. RNAcentral's name for it is "partial 16S ribosomal RNA". It matches the Rfam family "Bacterial small subunit ribosomal RNA", at positions 28 to 507 of the family's 1533-position model. The record is from RNAcentral.